RNAcentral lists this ribosomal RNA (533 nucleotides) under Rimanella arcana. RNAcentral describes it as "partial 16S ribosomal RNA". It matches the Rfam family "Bacterial large subunit ribosomal RNA", at positions 1830 to 2619 of the family's 2925-position model. Lineage: Eukaryota; Metazoa; Arthropoda; Insecta; Odonata; Rimanellidae. The record is from RNAcentral.
GUCCUCUUGUCUUAUAUGUGAGGUCUUACCUGCCCAGUGAUUCUUUUAACGGCCGCGGUAUUUUGACCGUGCAAAGGUAGCAUAAUCAUUAGUCUUUUAAUAGUAGACUGGUAUGAAUGGUUUGACGAGGUGCCAGCUGUCUCAGCUUAAUUUUUAUUAAAUUUAACUUUUGAGUUAAAAGGCUCAAAUUUUGUUGGAAGACGAGAAGACCCUAUAGAGCUUUAAUAUUUUUUUUAUUUUUAUCUAUUUGUUUAAAUAUUUGAUAACUUUUGAUUAAUUUUUUUAUUGGGGCGAUGGCAAAUAUAUAUAUAACUUUUGUAUUUAUUAUACAUUUAUUUAUGAUUUUUUGAUCCAUUAUUAUUGAUUAUUAGAAUAAGUUACCUUAGGGAUAACAGCGUAAUUCUCUUUUAGAGUUCUUAUUGAUAAGAGAGUUUGCGACCUCGAUGUUGGAUUAAGAUAAUGGUUAGGUGUAGCAUUUUAACUAAUAGGUCUGUUCGACCUUUAAAUUCUUACAUGAUCUGAGUUCAGACCGG